Molecule: ribosomal RNA, 1141 nt
Filed under: Escherichia coli
Lineage: Bacteria; Pseudomonadati; Pseudomonadota; Gammaproteobacteria; Enterobacterales; Enterobacteriaceae
Description: partial 23S ribosomal RNA
Rfam family: Bacterial large subunit ribosomal RNA
Source: RNAcentral
GUACCUUUUGUAUAAUGGGUCAGCGACUUAUAUUCUGUAGCAAGGUUAACCGAAUAGGGGAGCCGAAGGGAAACCGAGUCUUAACUGGGCGUUAAGUUGCAGGGUAUAGACCCGAAACCCGGUGAUCUAGCCAUGGGCAGGUUGAAGGUUGGGUAACACUAACUGGAGGACCGAACCGACUAAUGUUGAAAAAUUAGCGGAUGACUUGUGGCUGGGGGUGAAAGGCCAAUCAAACCGGGAGAUAGCUGGUUCUCCCCGAAAGCUAUUUAGGUAGCGCCUCGUGAAUUCAUCUCCGGGGGUAGAGCACUGUUUCGGCAAGGGGGUCAUCCCGACUUACCAACCCGAUGCAAACUGCGAAUACCGGAGAAUGUUAUCACGGGAGACACACGGCGGGUGCUAACGUCCGUCGUGAAGAGGGAAACAACCCAGACCGCCAGCUAAGGUCCCAAAGUCAUGGUUAAGUGGGAAACGAUGUGGGAAGGCCCAGACAGCCAGGAUGUUGGCUUAGAAGCAGCCAUCAUUUAAAGAAAGCGUAAUAGCUCACUGGUCGAGUCGGCCUGCGCGGAAGAUGUAACGGGGCUAAACCAUGCACCGAAGCUGCGGCAGCGACGCUGAUGCGUUGUUGGGUAGGGGAGCGUUCUGUAAGCCUGCGAAGGUGUGCUGUGAGGCAUGCUGGAGGUAUCAGAAGUGCGAAUGCUGACAUAAGUAACGAUAAAGCGGGUGAAAAGCCCGCUCGCCGGAAGACCAAGGGUUCCUGUCCAACGUUAAUCGGGGCAGGGUGAGUCGACCCCUAAGGCGAGGCCGAAAGGCGUAGUCGAUGGGAAACAGGUUAAUAUUCCUGUACUUGGUGUUACUGCGAAGGGGGGACGGAGAAGGCUAUGUUGGCCGGGCGACGGUUGUCCCGGUUUAAGCGUGUAGGCUGGUUUUCCAGGCAAAUCCGGAAAAUCAAGGCUGAGGCGUGAUGACGAGGCACUACGGUGCUGAAGCAACAAAUGCCCUGCUUCCAGGAAAAGCCUCUAAGCAUCAGGUAACAUCAAAUCGUACCCCAAACCGACACAGGUGGUCAGGUAGAGAAUACCAAGGCGCUUGAGAGAACUCGGGUGAAGGAACUAGGCAAAAUGGUGCCGUAACUUCGGGAGAA